RNAcentral lists this ribosomal RNA (440 nucleotides) under uncultured bacterium. RNAcentral's name for it is "partial 16S ribosomal RNA". It matches the Rfam family "Bacterial small subunit ribosomal RNA", at positions 338 to 795 of the family's 1533-position model. The record is from RNAcentral.
CCUACGGGAGGCUGCAGUGGGGAAUAUUGCACAAUGGGGGAAACCCUGAUGCAGCGACGCCGCGUGAGUGAAGAAGUAUUUCGGUACGUAAAGCUCUAUCAGCAGGGACGAAAAUGACGGUACCUGACUAAGAAGCCCCGGCUCAUUACGGGCCAGCAGCCGCGGUAAUACGUCGGGGGGAAGCGUUAUCCGGCUUUACUGGGUGGAAUGGGGGCGUAGUCGGCAGGGCAAGGCUGGAGGUAAAGCACGGGGCCCAACCCCGGGACUGCUUUGGAAACUGGGUAACUGGAGUACAGGAGGGGCAGGCGGAAUUCCUGGUGUAGCGGUGAAAUGCGUAGAUAUCAGGAGGAACACCGGCGGCGAAGGCGGCCUGCUGGACUGAAACUGACGUUGAGGCUCGAAAGCGUGGGGAGCAAACAGGAUUAGAUACCCUUGUAGUC